AAGCCAUGGGAUAUAUUUGUGAAGCAAUGAAUAGGGCUAAAGAAACCAUUGACAACUCACUCAACGACAACGAAGAGAAAUUUUGAUAUUAUUGAUGCGAGAUGGUCAAUUUAAUUGCAUUGUCCUUUGCAUGCUGUUGAAUAUUUCUUAAAUCCUGAAUUUUUUGAUCCAAACAAGAUGAGAGUUAAGCAUGAUGAAGAGGUGAAUUCAGGCUU
This 215-nucleotide unclassified non-coding RNA is filed under the name Hevea brasiliensis (rubber tree). Lineage: Eukaryota; Viridiplantae; Streptophyta; Magnoliopsida; Malpighiales; Euphorbiaceae. The record is from RNAcentral.